ACCUACGGGAGGCAGCAGUAGGGAAUUUUCGUCAAUGGGCGCAAGCCUGAACGAGCAAUGCCGCGUGAGCGAGGGAGGUCUUCGGAUCGUAAAGUUCUGUUGAAGGGGAAAAAGAGCGGAGAGAGGAAAUGGUCUCCGAUUGAUAUUACCCUUCGAGGAAGUCACGGCUAACUACGUGCCAGCAGCCGCGGUAAUACGUAGGUGGCGAGCGUUAUCCGGAAUGAUUGGGCGUAAAGGGUGCGUAGGCGGCCUGCUAAGUCUGGAGUGAAAGGUACCGGCUCAACCGGUACAGGCUCUGGAAACUG
RNAcentral lists this ribosomal RNA (305 nucleotides) under uncultured bacterium. Its description in RNAcentral is "bacterial SSU rRNA". It matches the Rfam family "Bacterial small subunit ribosomal RNA", at positions 337 to 635 of the family's 1533-position model. The record is from RNAcentral.